UUGAAAUAUAUAGCAUUUUUCCUAAAUGAAUUCUUCCAAGGGCGUUCGCAAUGGCCAUGUUUUCAUCAUCCUUUUAUUCAUGACUCUUUUCAUGGUUACAGGUUGUGUGAUGACGACAAAAACGCAAGUUACAUAUGGAGAUGAUGAAUACGAAUGCAUUGGACGUUGUUUAAUGAAUUGGAGGUGCAAAUACCAAUGCCAUAGUAGAGGUUAUCGUGGCUAUGUUUGUCGACCCGGAGUAAUAUACCAUUAUGAUUGUUGUUGUCUCAUUUAAUAAUAAUAAUAAUAAUAAUAAUAAUAAUAAUAAUAAUAAUAAUGGGUUACCAUAUAGUAACUUUUUAUUAAGAGUAAUUAACUUGGCUUC
Long non-coding RNA from Ipomoea nil (Japanese morning glory), 364 nucleotides. RefSeq lists it as uncharacterized. The transcript has 2 exons. NCBI's taxonomy places the organism in Eukaryota, Viridiplantae, Streptophyta, Magnoliopsida, Solanales, Convolvulaceae. The record is from RefSeq and is a predicted model, not a curated record.